GUUCCCUGAAAAUUGGGGCGGCCCCAUCGCAUACCGCACAGGCCGAGAUGCCUCGAUUCCAGAAGGUAUCCGAACCAGGGAAGUUAAGGCGCUUGGCAAUGGCGCCGGUGGCGACGAUGACAGAAUCAGCGAGGACGGCCUUGGAAUCGGUGAACACCUUGAAGGGAUUGGAGGAAAAAUCGACCUUGUUAACGGUUUCGGUGAAGAUCUGGGUACCGAAGCGAAUGGAUUGGGCGCGGCAUCGGUCCAUAAGCUCGCCGCCCUGAAUCCCCUCAGGGAAACCGGGGAAGUUCUCGACCUCGGAGGUGGUAGUAAGCUGGCCACCAGGAGCGAUGUCGUUGGCCAUCCAACCCUCAAAAAGAAUGGGCUUCAGCUCGGCACGGGCAGCGUAGA
Molecule: unclassified non-coding RNA, 393 nt
Filed under: Hevea brasiliensis (rubber tree)
Lineage: Eukaryota; Viridiplantae; Streptophyta; Magnoliopsida; Malpighiales; Euphorbiaceae
Source: RNAcentral